GGGCCCGUAGCUCAGUCUGGUCAGAGCGCGCGACUCAUAAUCGCGCGGUCAAGGGUUCGAAUCCCUUCGGGCCCA
This 75-nucleotide transfer RNA is filed under the name Candidatus Altarchaeales archaeon ex4484_2. RNAcentral's name for it is "Candidatus Altiarchaeales archaeon ex4484_2 tRNA-Met". It matches the Rfam family "tRNA". From Rfam's summary of the family: Transfer RNA (tRNA) molecules are approximately 80 nucleotides in length. Their secondary structure includes four short double-helical elements and three loops (D, anti-codon, and T loops). Lineage: Archaea; Nanobdellati; Candidatus Altarchaeota; Candidatus Altarchaeia; Candidatus Altarchaeales. The record is from RNAcentral.